This 388-nucleotide ribosomal RNA is filed under the name uncultured bacterium. RNAcentral describes it as "bacterial SSU rRNA". It matches the Rfam family "Bacterial small subunit ribosomal RNA", at positions 28 to 416 of the family's 1533-position model. The record is from RNAcentral.
GACGAACGCUGGCGGCGUGCUUAACACAUGCAAGUCGAGCGGUAAGGCCCUUUCGGGGGUACACGAGCGGCGAACGGGUGAGUAACACGUGGGUGACCUGCCUUUAGCUCUGGGAUAAGCCUGGGAAACCGGGUCUAAUACCGGAUAUGACUCCGCGGCGCAUGUUGUGGGGUGGAAAGCCUUGUGCGGCUGGAGAUGGGCCCGCGGCCUAUCAGCUUGUUGGUGGGGUGAUGGCCUACCAAGGCGACGACGGGUAGCCGGCCUGAGAGGGCGACCGGCCACACUGGGACUGAGACACGGCCCAGACUCCUACGGGAGGCAGCAGUGGGGAAUCUUGCGCAAUGGGCGAAAGCCUGAACGCAGCGACGCCGCGUGAGGGAUGACGGCC